Molecule: long non-coding RNA, 2199 nt
Organism: Zeugodacus cucurbitae (melon fly)
Lineage: Eukaryota; Metazoa; Arthropoda; Insecta; Diptera; Tephritidae
Exons: 2
Source: RefSeq, a predicted model, not a curated record
UGAAUUUUUAUAAACCAGCGCCGUCUUUGAUGAAUAAAUGUUAAUUUAUUUAUUAACAAAACAUUAGACAACACAAAUUUUGACAACUGUGAAACGCAAUAUUCAAAAUGUCACCACUUUCCAAUCAGGAUAUUUGAAAGGAACUGUCACUGCUUUGACUGACUGCUACUUAUGUCGGACUAAAUCAAAGUUUUGAAAUGUUUGCACGAUUUUGAGUAAGCUUUAGCUGUGAGACAUUCAAUGACAAUUUAUUUUGUGUGAUUUCCUACUCCAUUUCCGUUUAAAUCUUCUUUGUUUAUAAUUCUCAACAUUGAAUUUUUGUGCAAAAAUAUUUGUUUAUAUUAAAGAUAAUUAAUUUUUGAAAAAGUUGAUAUCUUUUAGCACUGAUCAGUCGCAAGUCUACUUUAUAACUGUUAAUGAUCUUGGGCAAAUCAAAUCAACAAAGGUGAUGAGAUCUGAUAAGAGUACUCUAUCUUGUAAGGCUAUGCCCACAUCAACAGUCAUCAAGUGGGAAAGCUGAUUGGUUACAAUAUAUACAGGAAAUUCUUAUUGGAAUGCUUUAGCAGUUAAAAAACCAACAAAGACAUAACCUCUAUGGGAAAUGAAAGUCGAGCGUAAAAUGGAUUUAUAUACGUCAUGGGGUAAUUAAUCUGAAUAAAUAACGAACAAACUGAUACACCUUUUUUAGAAAUCAAAGCUCUGUAUUAUAACUGAAAAUAAUAAAUUCAAAUAAAUCAUAAAAAAAUAAAGUUUUUACAAAAUAAAAAAAUCUUUUGUUAUCAUGUUAGCUAUGAGGAUAUAUUGUAUUUGGAACGAUCUCGAAAGUUAUAAUUCUCUAUUAUCAAGUGGGAUCCAUUUCGAAGUUCUCUACUUUUUUAAAGAAAAAACAAAAAACAGAAAAUUCAAAUUUAAUGGGGAACGUUUAUUUUCAUUUGAAAGAACAUUCUUUAGCAUUUAUUUUUUAAAGAUUAUCUUUUUCAAAUAUUGGCCGCGGCUACGUCUCAGAUGGUCCAUCCAUUGAGUCCAAUUUUCGAUGACUCGUUCGAACUUUUCGAAUUGUAACUGGCGAAUGACACGCGUGCUGUUUUGCUCCAAGGCAUGAAUCGAAGCGGGAUUGUCGGAAUAGACUUUAGACUUUACCUAUCCCCAAAGGAAAAGGUCUAACAGCGCGAUAUCACAUGAUCUUGGUGGCCAAUCGACAGGUCCAAAAAGUGAAAUUAUCUGCUCACCCAAGUGUCCCCUCAAUAAAUUCAUGCAAUGUGUGGGAAGUGGCGCCGUCUUUUUGAAACCUAAUGAAUGAAUUAUGAGCUUCAAUGUUAGACAUCAAAUAUUCGGUUAUCAUGGAAUGAUAAUGGUCGCCAUUGACGGUUACGUUCUCACAGGCAUAAUUUUUAAAGAAAUAUGGACCGAGGAUCCCACAAAUCACAUCGAACCGUUGUUUUUUCUGGAUGAAAUGACACCUCUUCAAUCUCUUCGUUCCAAAUGCGGCAAUUUUUCUUGUUUACAUACUCAGCCCUGAGGCCCAUCGCUGAAAAGAAUUUGGCCCCUAGAGCUAAGCGAUGUCGUUUGGUAAGCGGCUUCAGUUCUUGCACAAACUGUAUUUUGUACGCUUUCAAUUUAAGAUCUCGGCGUAAAGGUGCCAAAUAUUUUCAUACGUCGGUCCGAGUUGCUGUGAACGGUGCCGAAUUGACUCUCCACGGUCUUCGCGUACAUCCUCAGCUACGGCUGCUAUAUUUUUUUCACUGGACGUGGUCUAUUCGGUCGAAUAUUAUCCAAUAAUGAAUGCUGGGUCUCAAGAUGGGUGAUGGUGUUGCGAACACCCCGCUCACUAGGCCGAAAAGCUGGACACGACUCACGCGUGGUCUGUCAAAAAACGGCUAUUGAAAAAAGUACCACUACUUGAAACACCCUUUAUUAGUGAGUUAUAUUUUUUACAAUAAAAACUGCAUUUUAUUUAUAAACAUAUUCACGCUAAUAUAAUACCAACCACAACUUAUACCCAGCACUCCACACCUUCAGAAUUAAAACACAAACGCAUUAAAGUAUAGUGUUUCGUUUAUUGGACUUGAAAUGUUAACAGCAUUUUGUGUACUUAUGUAGGUAUAAUCAUCGCCGUGUGUUACACUUUGUAGUUUGCUUAACAGAAUAGAUUUCAUUUUACAAGCGUACAUAGCAAUUCUUACUAUAGACUAAUGGUGG